UAUAGCUUAGUGGUAGAGUGCUUGCCUUGCAUGCAGGAAAACCUAGGUUCGAUCCCUAGUA
Molecule: transfer RNA, 61 nt
Filed under: Neotoma lepida (desert woodrat)
Lineage: Eukaryota; Metazoa; Chordata; Mammalia; Rodentia; Cricetidae
Rfam family: tRNA
About the family: Transfer RNA (tRNA) molecules are approximately 80 nucleotides in length. Their secondary structure includes four short double-helical elements and three loops (D, anti-codon, and T loops). Further hydrogen bonds mediate the characteristic L-shaped molecular structure. tRNAs have two regions of fundamental functional importance: the anti-codon, which is responsible for specific mRNA codon recognition, and the 3' end, to which the tRNAs corresponding amino acid is attached (by aminoacyl-tRNA synthetases). tRNAs cope with the degeneracy of the genetic code in two manners: having more than one tRNA (with a specific anti-codon) for a particular amino acid; and 'wobble' base-pairing, i.e. permitting non-standard base-pairing at the 3rd anti-codon position.
Source: Rfam by way of RNAcentral